Molecule: long non-coding RNA, 2857 nt
Organism: Impatiens glandulifera
Lineage: Eukaryota; Viridiplantae; Streptophyta; Magnoliopsida; Ericales; Balsaminaceae
Exons: 4
Source: RefSeq, a predicted model, not a curated record
AAUAUGUUGUCUGAAAUUAGCAUGAACGAUAACACAAAAACCCACUAACAUAACGUCCCACUUCAAUCAAAGUGUUUUCAUUGUGAAUCGAACUUGAGACCUUUUAGAGCCCCCCUCCACCCCACCACAAAAAGAAAAACCUUAGUCUUCAAUGUGGUAAGCCCCUUUGUCCAAGACUCUUGCUACUUAGUUACCUAGGUGAGAUGUGUAUAAGUGUAUUUAAUAUUUAUACUACUGCUUUUGAAGAUAUACCUUGCAAAAGCACUUGCAAAGUGCCUGCAUUCUCCUCUCAUUGGGCAAGCAUUACAGUUAGGUUUUAUUUUUGUGCAGAAAACCUGGAAUGAACCAAAGGUAGAAUUUAUAAAUAAGAUGUGUAUUCAUGAAAAAAUAACUUGAAUAUCUUGUUUCUUAUAUUACUUAAAUAGAAUGUCAUGAAAACUCAUACCUUCCCAAACGUAAUCAUCUGAUAAUGUAGUUCGUACCUGUAUUUCAAAUUUAAUUUAUCAUGUAAAAUCUGUCUAUUUCAAAUAUAAUGAAACUAGAUAUUUCACUCUUUGAGAUUCGGGGUUUAUGAGAGUUUUGAGCUUACAAUGUUGGCUGAUCAAGCUUGCACAACCUUGUCCAUAAAUAUUUUUGUAUAGAGUCCAACACUGGAUACCUGUUUUGUAAUCCUGUCAGGUUUCUUCUGCGGCAAAUUAGUUACUUAUGAAUAGUUGGAGGUGUUUCACUUACUUUUCCAGGAGAUGCAGUUGAAGUGAUUCAGGUAGGGGUUGAAUUGGAACCCAUCCAAGCCUUACUGCUAUCCUUGCAACAUUAAUGUCAACCUGUGUAACAAAAGUUUGUUGUAACAUUUGCAAGAGGAUCAAUUGUGGCAAUAGCUAUUUGUUGUGAAAAGUGAAUCUUACCGGGAAAGCAAUAUGAUGGAGUGUCAGUAGUCGCACACAUUCUGUGCUUUUCAAGCCUAAUCCUUCAAUACUCAGAAGAUAGUCUCUGCAUUUGUAUAAUACUCAAAAAUAAAUUAGAAGAAUGUUCUUUGCUGGAAGGUGCACCGGUGUGAACUGCGGACCAGUCCGGAGACAGAAAAUAUGUUUUUUCUAUUUCAAACACGUUGAAGUCCUCUGUUGCCUUUUCUGGCAUAUACUGAUCAACAGAAUUUUGAAAGUUGGAUUUGUCCCACCAUUUCUCAAAUGCUUCGGUUUGAUCUUCAUGUAAAACAGUAGUUGAGGAAAUGCAUUUCCUAUUUGUUUCUGUUUUGGAGUUGGGUUGUAACCAAGACAGAUCUUCAUCAUGCUCUUGAAAACAAGAGUUGGGAUGAUCUGAAUCUGCUGGCUCGUCAGGUUCUCCUAAUAUUACACUUGGUUCACCUUGGAACCCUGUCUGGAUUUGGCUCUCCUUGCGAAUUGGGAAUUUCGCAGCAAGCGACAUAUAUGCGGAGCUGCAGAGGUUAGAAUAAAAUAAUGUUACUUUUUUUAAGCACAAGUUGUAUUUAUUUUUAUAUUUGAUAAAUAAGGUAAAUAAUUAUUUUUCAUAUAUUUUUAAUCAUAAGUAGUUUUUUUUUUUUUUAAAUAACACGUUUACCUUGAUAAAUGAUCGGCCACAUUUUGUGUAAGAAACACUCCUACGACCGAGUCCACUACAGAACCUUUCCAUUUGGUGAAACGUCUAUCUCCUGUGAAGGAAGGAAAUUACAGUUAAUCAAGGUAAAAUUGUGGACAACAAAUACUCAUUCAUCCUUAGGUAGUGUGAAGAAUGAAUGAAUGAACAAAUUACCCUGGAUAAGAUGCAUGCGUGCAUUGAAACACUCUACCCGUCCUUGGAAUACUUUCCUUUCUGCUUCCCACCAUUUUUCUCUCUUUUCAUCUUCAGCCUCAUUGCCUUCACUUACUUUUCUACCCAUUAGAAAUUUCAAGGCUCUAUCUGUCUCUGGGUCAAGGUCUACUUUAGGCUUGCCAAUCUUCUUCUCCUUUUGUAGGCCUAUUACAUCCUCAGAAAUAAUAUGGUUACCACGAUUUCUCUUGCUUCUCACAAUGGCAUAGAGUGAGGCUUUAUUUCCUGGUUCUCCAUUAUCUUCGAGGCUUUGCUCCUUUCCCAGGUCAAAAUUCAACGACUUCUUUGCUUUUGGAGGAUUAAGUUCAUUCUUCCGCUCAUACUUUCUCUUUCCACUCGGCUGCUCCUUGGAAGUGGAACCACCUUCCGUUAGCGUCAGGUUGUUCUUGCGCACAUAUUUUCUCUUUACAAGGGGGGGACUUCUGUUCUGUAAUGCCUCGGCAGCUUUCGGUGUAAUUUUGGGUUUGCCUUCAAUGAUCACCUUUGGCCUGUGCCUGCGUCUUCUGGGUAUGGUUUGAGUAGGUGUCUUGCUCAGGUCCAUAACUCGAUCCCCUUCCUUUUGAACAGACAAGCUGGCAUGCCUAUCUUUCUCCUGACUUGUAACCCGUGUCCAAUUGAACAUGUUAAAUUGGUAACCUGUGUCCAAUUGUCUUGUAUGAUCUGGAGUUGCUACGGGAAAUUGGAACGAGCUUGUCCCACUAGAGCUUGCGCCGACUUCAUUUCGUGGUGGGGAAUUCAGAUUGUAGAUUGGAUGAUGAUGAACCGUGGCUGAUGAUGAUCCAUCUGCAUUCAUGUUGACUUGUAUUAGAUAAAGAACAGGUUGUGUAACUGAUAUUUCUUUUUAUGGGAUCUGUUUCAUUUCCCCCCUUUUCUGUUUGUUUUAUUGUAUUCCCAAAUCUGCCUAGAUUAGACCAACUAAUUUGAUCUUAUCGGGCACAUGUUGCUCCUUUCAAUUUCAAAAAGGCAACUAAAUGUAUGCAAAUCCAGACAAUUAUCAAAACAGUAUACAUGUUAUGAGAUUGGAUUCAAA